RNAcentral lists this long non-coding RNA (221 nucleotides) under Pongo abelii (Sumatran orangutan). RNAcentral's name for it is "lincRNA". The record is from RNAcentral. Lineage: Eukaryota; Metazoa; Chordata; Mammalia; Primates; Hominidae.
AGGUGCCCCGGACAGGUGUGGCCAGCACGUCUUGCCAAGACCCCACCACCCCACCCACCCGCAUCUGUGGCCUCCUGGAAGAACUGAGCUGUGGCCUGGGGUUCCGUGGAGCAGAAAAUUAGCCGGGCAUGGUGGCGGGCGCCUGUAGUCCCAGCUACUUGGGAGGCUGAGGCAGAAUGGUGUGAACCCGGGAGGCGGAGCCCGCAGUGAGCCGAGAUUGC